CAAAUCAAAGUCUCCAUCUGAGCCACCCACUCUACCUUCCUCUACAGGCAACAGAGGAGUGAUCCAUACGGAGUUUAGAGGACAUGGAUGGCCAUGGGAAUAUCCAUCCACCUCAAACUAAGGGAUCACCAGUAGAAAGAGGCUUUCUCUGGAGGGGGAGAGUGUCCAGAUGAGCCUUUCCUUCAGCACAAAAGGAGAUGUAAGUAGGGAAAUGAGGUUUGGAGACAUUGCUUUUAUGCCUCCUUCUGGUCCCAGUAUCUCUACAUUGCAGGAGAAAGGCGUCAGGCCUGGAGAUAUGGCUUUCAUCAUCCUAGAGGACACUCAAUCCACCUGUGCUCCACAGAGAAGUACCCCACGGAGGCACAUGAGCUGCCUUCAAGUGCUGCCUAACAGGAACAAUUACUGUUCUGGCACUGCCACAGUGUUACAGGGCCAGGACAAGGCAAUGAGCCCAAUCUCCAGGCAGCACAGUGACAUCCAGGGAUGGACAAUCGAAGAGAGAAACUCAAGGGUGCUCUCCCACCCUCCUCUCACAGGAUUCAGCCUUGACAUCAGUGCCAUUCCAUCCAUCUAUUCCUCACGAGAGCAGGGGAUGUUGGAGAUGCCAAUGGAAACACAGACCAUACAACCCCCAGCUUCAGGCCCUGGAGGAGAGGGGUGCUCUGAGGAAGCCUGAAGGAGUGCUGGAGGUGGGAGUGACCAACACCUGGGGACACUGCUGGACAUUCCCCUGAGCCAGUGCCACCUUCCCAGCAGCUUCUUCAAGCCACACUUGUCAAAGAAAGCAUCUGGAGCCCUGCAAGGAAUGACUGGGGCAGUGCAGCUCGGGCAGGGGAUAAAGCAGGUUGCUGGCCCUCAGCUGUGUUUAUGAACAAACAGUCUCUGGAUACUCUUCCAUCGCUGAACCUUUCAGCUUUCUGUGAGUUAACUCCCUGCCAGCAGCGAGCCUGUGCCAGCCCCACAAACCUCAGCAUCUGUUUUGCAAGGCUCUUUUAUUUGUUAGCAUGUGAAAGCUAUUGCUCAUGUGUGCUUCCCAGCUGUGGUGUGCUUGGGCUUGGUAUCUUUAAAGAAAUCUUUGCUUUAUUUGCUUGUUGAACCCAGACACACACACGAAGCACAGAGUUCUCCCCUCCCUGCAUGAGCCAGUAAUGCAACCUCUGCUGACAGGUCCCCCUUCCCUGCCUUUCCUCCACGCAAACCCAGGACAAACUUCAUGACAAGAAAAUCAGGAGGCUUUUCCUCCCUUCCCUUGAACAGGGAGCUCUCCUUUUUACACUCCUGUUUGGUUUCUGUCACAGCACUUGCUGCAUUCAAUUAUCCCAUUCUGUAUCAUGGGACUGAGAGCCCUGAGCUAAAAUCAUCAUGCUCUAGUUAUGCAAGUCACUGUACAAACAGCCAGCCAGGGAAAGGCUGCUCCAAAAACAUCCACGGCAGGGCAAGGGCUGAGGGAGACACAGGGAUCAGGAGUCAUCACAUCCAAGCUCAAGCACAUCCAUGGCAGAGCCUUAUAUAGGAUCCUGCUCAAGGUCUGGCCUGUGGCUCCCUGCUGAUGAACAUUUCCUUCUCUUGGACAUGCAAAAUCAUGGAAUGGUUUGGUUUGGAAGGGACCUUAAACAUCACCUAAAUCGAACCCCCUGCCAUGGGCAGGGAGAACUUCUAUUAUCCCAGAUUGCUCCAAGCCUCAUCCAACAUGGCCUUGGACACUUCCAGAGAUGGGGCAGACACAGCUUCUCUGGGCACCCUGUGCCAGGGCCUCCCCACCCUCACAGCCAAGAAUUUUUUCAAUGCCUUUUUUUGUGGCAUCUCUUGGGACUUCUUCCAUGUACCAUGGAGUCUUCCAUGUCACAUGGAGUGUGGCAGGACACAGGUGUGUGUUGGAUGCAGUCGUGGGGUCACCCAAGGAGGAGCUGGAGUGUCUCUGUCACUGGGACACAGCCCUGCCCUGAAAUGGGAACACCCCGGUGAAUCUCCACCAUCUAAUUCUGAGGGCAAAUGCUCUGCUUUGGGCUCACAGCUUGCCAUGCCAGAUACCUGGCAUGGUUUAAUGGCAGGAUUGGCAGUGCUGCUUUAACUCUUUGGACUCAGUGACCUUAAAGGCCCUUUUCCAAGCCAAAUGAAUCUAUGAUCCAUGUUUAACUCCCUUUUUAUGUGUCUUGCAUAGCUCAAGGCUUCCUCUGAGGGUGCUUUGGGAAAGGAAAUUCAUCAUUUAAUGCUGAGGCCAGCAGAUGGAGCAGACCUUCCUUUGGGGUAAAUCAGCUUGUAUUUGUGAUCUCCAAGACUCUAGAUCAGUGUGUCAGCUAGAAUGUUGGCCAAAGGCUUUUUAUUACUAUUUUAUGACAGAUUUGGAAAGGGUUUUAAUAGCUUUUCACACUCUCUUUCUCCAUCUAAUUGCCUUGAUCUGCAGCUUAUACCAUCAGGAGUCAUUUUCCCAAGAUGGGCCUGAUGUAAGAAGAAUGGCUUGACUUUGUUCUUUCUAAAUAACCCCCUUUAAAUCAGCUUUCCUUCUCUGCCUGCUGUGUGGGAUAUGAAAGCACCCCAAACACAACACAGUCCCUCUGGUGUCCCCACAGCUCUGUCAGGAGGGUGGGAAACGCAACGUCACUUUGUGACCCUGGUGGAACCCUCUCUGUUUAAAUAAACAGCCCAGGUUUCUUGUAAUGUUACACUCCAUGGGGAGCCCUGGGACAAUAACAGAGCAGGAACCACUCAUAUGGCUCCUCUGGGAUGGAUCAACAAACAGAAGGAGUGUUGGGCCCACGUUGGAUGGGACGUGUCCCCAGUCUGCCACCCAAUGAGCAAAAUGGCUUCCCAUGGCCACCACCUGUAAAGCACCAAAAAACCACUUUGGUUGGAAGAUUCUUCAGGCCCAAAGUAAGUUCUAAGCAAAAGUACACAUGAACAUUGUUUCCAAGCAUAGAUUUGAGGUUAAAAGGUCUAAUGCUUAUUGUUGCUAAGGAAAUGGAGGGGGUGACCCCCAAAAAACAUGUUUGCAAGCACUCUCCUUUUGCACCCCUGAGGCUGUGAUGCAGCUUCCUGCCCAGGUUUGGUUUCUUUCCACAAAAGAGAUUAUUUAGGUCCAUCAGCCAUAGGAACAGAAUUCAGCCAAGGCCUGCAGGUGAUGAGAAAAUAAAAAAGUCCAGAGAGUGGGAAGACAAUCUGUUUAUGGGACAUGGGAGCUCAUCCUGGCAGAAUCUCCAAAGCAGCGGGAUUUCUCCUCUCUGUCCCAGUCCUGGAGUACGUGACAUUUUCCUCACACUGGCUACUUCUACAAUGAGAAAACCGUGGGAUUUUGAGGCUGACAGGUACAAGCAAAACCAACACAGCAACCAGAGAAAACCCUGAACUCACCAGUCCAUCCUGAAAGAAAAUGGAAAAUGUGCAGCCUCCUCUCAGGAGAUUUUGGGAAUACCUUCUUUUGGGGGAGGACACCCUGCAGCACACAAGACACAUGAUUGAAGUGGGAUAUGAAAAAAUCCUGGGGUGUUUUUUUGGUUCCCAUCAUGUGCCAGCAAUGAUGCCUCACUUCUCCAAAGCCACCCUUCAGCCAGGACAGGUACAGACCCACCAUCAUCUUGGGUUCCUCUUUUAGAGCCACUCAAGUACCACUGAGGGUCCCAGUUUCUAAGAAAUAGGUGGCACCAUACCUUGGCAAUUUGGUGGUGGACCAAACCAACCAUGAUGGGAAGUUUUCUGCUCCUGGUCCUUCAUCCAGAAGAGACUGGCAUGCUGAAGUCCCUCCCUCCCCUGGAAAUGUCCCUCAUCAUCUUUGCACUGCAGCACCAGGAGGGAGCUCCUCAGCUCUGCCAGAGGAGCAAGGGAAACCUCAUACAAACCUCUUAGGGACACCCUGGCCAGGGGAAAGCCAAUGAAAAUAAUGACUCACUUGACCCCUCACAAGACAGCCAGCACCCAAAAGUUUUCCGCACAGUGUUAAAAACACCAUGCACUGGACUCAAAUCUUGCCAGCCACGCCAGACUCCCACCUGUUUAUGUGGAAAACUUUAUGUACCCAAAGCAUGAAGUUUUUCAGCAUAAUGUGUUGGCUGGAUCAAGGUUUCCAUGUGCUCCAGUGCUGUCAAAAAGCAAUGUCUCAGCCAACACGGGACGCUGCAAAGAGGGCACAGAAAGUUUGAGUCUUCAGGAACUCAUUUGCAGCAGCUCCCUCAUUCCUUAGGUACUCAGAGACCUCUAACCCCCUGCCCUUUGAUGCACAGAGUGCAGACUGAAGGCAUCUCUGGAGGAUGAAAGAAAAGCCCCACGCCUGCACUGCUUUGCAGCUGUGCCCUGGGGGAGGGCCUGGACAGAGGUGAAACAACUGAAACUGGCAGGAUGGUGAGUACAAAAUGUGGCAAAAUAGAGAGUGGGCUUAGGUAAAACAGUGCAAGAGGCAGGGUCUAAAAGGAGAAGAGCAGAUGAUAAAAAGCCUUGUUUGGAAAUAAGCUGUGUGGACUCACAUGGUGACUCCUGGGGCAUCCUGUGCAGGGCUGAGAGUUGGACUCAAUGAUUCCUGUGGGUUCCUUCCAAAUCAGAAUAUUCUGUAAUUCUGUGACUCUGCACAAAAUGUUUGUGGCAAAAGGUGAAGUGCAAACAUCCUCUUUCAGGAAAAUUGCCUUUGUGCAGGAGCAGUGUCAGGACUAGUGCUGGCUGGUCUUAAUCUAGGAUGAGGGACUUAACUAAAGAACUGGGGAAGGUACCUGGACAAAGGCAACAGCACUCCCAGAUGCUCUGGAACCCAUGAAUGAGAUGUGGUACAACCUCCCAGCCAGGUCCUGGGCAAAGGUCUUACAUGUCCUGAUCCCAAAGUUCAGUCUUCUGUGCUGCUAUUUGAACACUUGCAGCAUGUUCCACCUCCUGAAAGGGUGGAGAACAGAGAAUUUUUCCUUCAGCCAUGGAAAUGCAACACUAUUCAUGCUGGACGGACUUGGCAGGUUUGGAACUCAGGGUCAGAACUGAAGUCAGAUCAUUUUGCUCAGGGCUUUUUUAGUCAGAUCUAGAAAACCUCCAGUUUUUCACACUCCAAAUUUCUGACUGGCUUUAAGUUUCCUUAUGAACUUCCACUUCCCAGGCUGAACAAGAUCUGAUCCUUCUGCACCUCCCUGUAGGACCAUCCAGCCCAUCAUGGUGGCCGUCUGCUAAACUCAGCCCAGUUCAUUGGCAUUUUGCUUGUGCUGGGGACACAAACCUGGACACUGCAUCCCAGACGAGAUCUAAUGGUCCCUGGGCAAUGGGAAUAGUCACAGCCCCUCAUCUGCUUGCUGUGCUCCUGCUGCACAUUUCUCACAUGUCACAAUUUGCUAAGGGUGUCUCAGCAAGCAGUUAGAAAAGCUCCUGGUUGGAGUAAUCUCCAAUUGCAGAAUGCAGUUGCAUUUCUCAAACCCAAGGCAAGAAAACAUCAAAUAGUGAUAAUCAAAAGUGACGUCGUUUGACUGAAAAAUACACAGCCCAAUUAUUACAAAUCCUGGCGAUGAUUUCUCUUGCUUCUUCCCUGGAGAAGCCAUGCUGCCAAGGGCUGGGUGUCCUGGGGACAGUCACACUGAGGCAAUGCCAUUCUCCCGUGCUGAGUUCUGCUCUUGGACACUGAUGAGUUGAACUCUGAGUUGAUCGAGGUCCCGGGACUGCAGCGGUGAGUGACAGCUUUGUUAAGCUGUGAUUGAUGACUCUGCUACCAAAUUCUGAUUAAUGUUUCCUCCCAAAGCCUCCUUGCCCUCGCAAUGUGCUGUCCAUUAGCCCCUGCCAAUAUCUGCCUGGAAUAACCUCCUGGCUGUGAUGGGCGUUGUGUGAUUAUGGUUAUCUAAACGUGUGAAUAAUUGGGAGGUUAUGCCAUAUUACAUGCUUCAUCAAGUCCUCUAUUCCAGUUUCAGGGAAACAUUUGAAGUUCAACACUAUGUCUCAAUUAUGCCUGAAUUUCUGGCAAGGGGAAAAAAAAGUCCCAUUAACGAAGCUGUCAAAAACACAUUCUGCUUUAAAUUUCCUGGGACAAUUGGACAAUGAAACUUGCUCACUCAGUAAAGAGCUGCUUUCUCCUCACAGCAUUAACAGGCUCUUGGAUUUAUUGGAUUUCUUUCUUGCUUGGGCUCUGAAAUGAGAUCUUGAUAAAAAGGAGUUGCACAGUAAAUGAGUAAGCUCUGUAAACAAUAAAUUCUGUGAUGAAACAUUUAUCUCCAGACAGUCUAUAUGGAAAGCAAUGCUGUUCUGGUGGGAUAUGGAAUGAGUUUGCACUGUGGUGAUAUUUGUAAAUGAUAAAAGAAAUAAAAUAGGUCUGUUGUUGCAGUGCUGGGACAAUCUUGUUACUGAAAGUAAGACUUUAUUCUCACAUGUGCUCUGGAGGGCAUGGGUCUGGCCUGGGACUCUGCCCCAGGCAGCUUUACACUUCAGAAUUUUUAUGGGGAACAAACCUAUCA
This is a long non-coding RNA of Passer montanus (Eurasian tree sparrow), 6401 nucleotides long. RefSeq lists it as uncharacterized. The transcript is spliced from 5 exons. NCBI's taxonomy places the organism in Eukaryota, Metazoa, Chordata, Aves, Passeriformes, Passeridae. The record is from RefSeq and is a predicted model, not a curated record.